UACGAAGGGGGCUAGCGUUACUCGGAAUUACUGGGCGUAAAGCGUGCGCAGGCGGUGAUGUAAGACAGUUGUGAAAUCCCCGGGCUCAACCUGGGAACUGCAUCUGUGACUGCAUCGCUGGAGUGCGGCAGAGGGGGAUGGAAUUCCGCGUGUAGCAGUGAAAUGCGUAGAUAUGCGGAGGAACACCGAUGGCGAAGGCAAUCCCCUGGGCCUGCACUGACGCUCAUGCACGAAAGCGUGGGGAGCAAACAGG
RNAcentral lists this ribosomal RNA (253 nucleotides) under uncultured bacterium. RNAcentral describes it as "partial 16S ribosomal RNA". It matches the Rfam family "Bacterial small subunit ribosomal RNA", at positions 524 to 776 of the family's 1533-position model. The record is from RNAcentral.